Salvelinus namaycush (lake trout) is the source of this 593-nucleotide long non-coding RNA. RefSeq lists it as uncharacterized. NCBI's taxonomy places the organism in Eukaryota, Metazoa, Chordata, Actinopteri, Salmoniformes, Salmonidae. The record is from RefSeq and is a predicted model, not a curated record. The transcript is spliced from 3 exons.
AAAGGAAGGAAGGAAGAUGCUUCCAGAGCCAGGAUCCUACCAGUGCAAGUGAUUUAUUACAAUGAUUUUUCUUAGUUUGUUGCAUAGGCUGUUAUCAAUAAAACGUCACAAUACAGUGCAUAGAGUUCGAUUUGGCUGUGGGGAGCAAGGAACCCCCUGAUCUGCGAAAACCAUUUUCAAGCAUUGGCGGUCUGGCAAUUCUGGCAAAUGCCAGAAGGGCCGGACCAUCUUCUAUUAAGAGCUCCUGUACCUUCAUCAGUGCCAGCAGUAAGUUUACCUCCGCCCAGUGCCUGUAUCAGUCCAAGGACUCAUCCGGGGUCAGUGCCCUUGCCUGGAGCAUAUCCUUCUACACCUGCCUGGGGAGAUGAGCAAGGCACUCAACACCAAAUAUACCCCUCCCUCCAGGAGAUACCUCAGUGAAACAUUAAUUCCGACCUGGUGUGGUGUAGAAAAGGCCAAUGUGAUCACUGAGCUGAAGGACGUGCGAAAGCUGGCCAUCACAUCAGACGGCUGGACCAGCCUCUGUCAGGACCACUAUCUCUCUGAUACAGUGCACUACACAAGGGCAGUGUGAAACAGAAGGUCCUCCACAC